GGCAGCAGGGUCCGCUCGGGGCUAUCCCUGGACCUUUGCCACAGGAUUAAGAAGGACAACUCAGAACCCACGCGCCCCGCUGCUCAGAGGCACAGGCAUGCAGUCAGGGUGUGCCCAAACACGGCUGGGCUCAGCCAGGCCCCGACAGGAGCCAACCCAUCCUCAGCCUGAACGCCUUGAGAAAUGCCCUGGGAAGGGCACGGCAUGCUGCAGAAAUGUCGUCUGGGCAAGACCUGGGCGGGGUGCACCAGGGACUCUCCCGCUCCCCUGGCCCUGGAGACUCCUCCUCAUCCGAGGGCAAAGGAACCAGCAGGCUAUCCCAGGGCAGAGCUGGAGGGCCCUAAGCAGCGUCUGGGAGCUCCCUAAGUGGGGCCCCAGCUGUCACCUGAGAAGCCAAGGAGCCUCAUCGUCACCAUGCACAUCACAAGAUCUAGAAGGACCCUUGAGGGUCCUAGCAAGGACUCAUUAAGAGGCCAUCACACACAGGACUGUUCUCAGUGCCACCGGGCAUGACGAGAAUCACUUGUCUGCCGGAGAGUGACCAUCUGUUGGGGAAAUGAGACACGUACUCGUCAAACCAUCAUUCAGCAUGACAAGAAUAUGGAGGCCAGAUGCUGCGAGAGGUCCAAAGACAAGGUCUUCCCGAGAGUGCCUGGUUUCCAAAGUGUGUCACCAGUAAAGAAUGGACUCUGCUUGGCUCCAUCCAUCCUCAGACAGCAGAAGCCACGGGACGUCAAGGGAGCUGGGCUCUCCCCUUAGCCAUGACCGUGGAGAGCAGGGACUGGAACCCUGGUUUCUGAUCCCUUCAGGCUGCCUUUGCCCUGGGAGCUGACCGUGGAAAGUGCAGGUCGCGAUGCCCGGUGCCAUGGUAACACCAGCCCUAGGGGGCUGUGUGUGAAGGCGCACGCCUCGGACAGUCAGAAGCUUGGGUUCCAACGCCCCUGGGAGUUGUCCCAGGGGGAGAGGAUUCCAGGCCUAACAAGAUGACCUCCCUGUCUUGCAAGUUUCUCUGCGUCCUUCAGACUACCUGCUUUGCUAAAGCCUUCUCACAGAUAACCUUCUGACGACAAAACCUGGAUAAGGCACGUGCUGAGCGAGCUCUGUGUCCUCGAGCCUCACCAGGCUUGGCCACCCCCGGGUCCAGCGUCUUCUCUCCAUGUGUCUCUGUGUGUUUCUUGAUCCUCCAUCACCCCUGGGUUCCUGAACCAGCGGCCGUGCUGGUUGCAGCAGUUAGGGCCCCAACAGGGACUGGAUCCAGGGCUACUUCUUCGUUGGAUUCAGAUGGAGGACCCUCUGAAGGCAGGCAUCGGUUAAAGACGAGGAGCACACGUUUCCAGCCAGGUGUCAGACACGGGAAAGCUGGAUCCAGGGACAGGGCUCCCCAUGUCGCCACUUUAAAGUCACGCUUAAGUCACAGGCAGCCCCGUAGAGAAGGUGCAGCUGUCACCGGGUUUGGAAUUUGUUCCUGAAACCUGUCCUGGGUUCCCUGAGGAGGGAACAGUACACACAGAGACGUGGGGAGACUUGUGAAGAGCCACAUGCUAGGUGUGCCGCUGAGGACCGGGAGAGGCACCCACAGCGCCUCUCCCUUCGCGGUCUCGACCCACCGUAGGAGGUGUGCACUGGCAGGCUCCUGACACGAUUCCUGGCUUCCCAAAAUGCCAGGAAGACCGUGAACAUUCAACACGUCCUCUGCCAACCGCAGCGUUCCUCCCCGCAGGGCCUUACCUUAUGAGAAGGAACAGGACCUGGAGGAGGACGCCGCCCCAGAGAGCCGCGCGGGGGACGGGAGAGCAUCGCAG
RNAcentral lists this long non-coding RNA (1802 nucleotides) under Marmota monax (woodchuck). Lineage: Eukaryota; Metazoa; Chordata; Mammalia; Rodentia; Sciuridae. The record is from RNAcentral.